UCAUGACCAUGAGAUCAGGAAUCACAUGCUCUACCAACUGA
RNAcentral lists this small nucleolar RNA (41 nucleotides) under Vulpes vulpes (red fox). The record is from RNAcentral. Lineage: Eukaryota; Metazoa; Chordata; Mammalia; Carnivora; Canidae.